AACAGGAUUAGAUACCCUGGUAGUCCACGCCGUAAACGAUGUCUACUUGGAGGCUGUGCCCUUGAGGCGUGGCUUCCGGAGCUAACGCGUUAAGUAGACCGCCUGGGGAGUACGGCCGCAAGGUUAAAACUCAAAUGAAUUGACGGGGGCCCGCACAAGCGGUGGAGCAUGUGGUUUAAUUCGAUGCAACGCGAAGAACCUUACCUACUCUUGACAUCCAGAGAACUUAGCAGAGAUGCUUUGGUGCCUUCGGGAACUCUGAGACAGGUGCUGCAUGGCUGUCGUCAGCUCGUGUUGUGAAAUGUUGGGUUAAGUCCCGCAACGAGCGCAACCCUUAUCCUUUGUUGCCAGCGGUCCGGCCGGGAACUCAAAGGAGGCUGCCAGUGAUAAACUGGAGGAAGGUGGGGAUGACGUCAAGUCAUCAUGGCCCUUACGAGUAGGGCUACACACGUGCUACAAUGGCGCAUACAAAGAGAAGCGACCUCGCGAGAGCAAGCGGACCUCAUAAAGUGCGUCGUAGUCCGGAUUGGAGUCUGCAACUCGACUCCACGAAGUCGGAAUCGCUAGUAAUCGUGGAUCAGAAUGCCACGGUGAAUACGUUCCCGGGCCUUGUACACACCGCCCGUCACACCAUGGGAGUGGGUUGCAAAAGAAGUAGGUAGCUUAACCUUCGGGAGGGCGCUUACCACUUUGUGAUUCAUGACUGGGGUGAAGUCGUAACAAGGUAACC
Molecule: ribosomal RNA, 730 nt
Filed under: uncultured bacterium
Lineage: Bacteria
Description: bacterial SSU rRNA
Rfam family: Bacterial small subunit ribosomal RNA
Source: RNAcentral